Pieris brassicae (large cabbage white) is the source of this 383-nucleotide long non-coding RNA. RefSeq lists it as uncharacterized. The record is from RefSeq and is a predicted model, not a curated record. The transcript has 3 exons. Lineage: Eukaryota; Metazoa; Arthropoda; Insecta; Lepidoptera; Pieridae.
AUUUUCUUCAAGAUUUCGUCGUGAUGAAGCAGAUUUAACAUAUAAAAUCAAAGCUUUAUGAGUAUUACAGUGAAUUGAUCGAAUCAAAUGAGGACUAUUUUACAGGAGUAAUCAACAACAUUUACAGCUAUGGUGGCAGCCCAGAUGGUCCAGCAAUGGGCUCAUUUCUUGGACUUGGCAAGGAUGUGUGAGAAUGGAGCGGCAGCCCUGGAUGUGGCAAUGUAUUUAGGACACUCAAUCUCUGUUCAACAGGAACAGAAGAAGAGAAACAUACCUGAAGGCUCUCAGCAGUUUUGAGGAGAGCAGGGAGUUGGCAAUACUGGACGUUGACCUCGCCCUUAUACAUGAAGUCGACGAGUGUUCGGAGUUCUUCCAAACCUACG